This 777-nucleotide long non-coding RNA is filed under the name Medicago truncatula (barrel medic). RNAcentral's name for it is "lncRNA gene4716". Lineage: Eukaryota; Viridiplantae; Streptophyta; Magnoliopsida; Fabales; Fabaceae. The record is from RNAcentral.
AACCACCACUGCAUUCCGUAAUCAAAAUCAUUUACUUGCAUUCUCAUUCAGAAUGAAGCGGUUCAAGAGAAAGGCAUGCACUAGGAGGGUCAAGGGAGGAGUCUCUCCUCAACUUUUAUCCUUAGAGUAUGUUUUAUUUCUUUUGUAAUUUUUUUAGUUACUAUGAGUAACUUUACCCUAAUUGGGUAGGAUUCUAAGACAAACCUCUAUUUGUCUUAUGAAUCAAUUUAAUUCAAGUCUUUUAUUCAGUUAUGUUUUGAGAUUUAUUUAAUUUCAUAUGCAAAGAUCUUAAUGCUUUUACGAAUUCUAGGGAGUGUGACAUACCUAGAGGCUCUUAACUGAACAUAGAAACAGGGGGCUGUAGAAGAUAUUUUUGGUCAACUUUUUCAAAUGUUGCAUUACAAACAUUACUUUAACCCCUUGGUAAGAUAGGGUUAUACCUAUCUAUUUAAUCUAUUAAGUAUCAUUCAUGAUAUUUGAUGUACUUCUAAGAUUCAUAGACGUAGGUGGAUCAUUUAAAUGACAAUUUAGGAGUACCAACUUUGUUUAUGUUUUAAUUAGCUUUGAGAGACUAAGACCUUACUUUAAUAACCUUACGAAGGCAUACAAACCUUGUAGGAAUGACGACCAUAUACAUUGUAUUUGCAUGUAUAACCUUAUUGUGAUCAAUAUGUGUGCAACUUGAGGGACAUAAAAAUCCCACGAACUCGUCACUUAAAUAGAACUCUUAUCUCAUAUUUAUCUUUAAUCCAACAAGGGAAUAGAGAGAAUUCGAAG